GUCCCAGUAGCGCAAUGGAUAGCGUGUUGGACUUCUAAUCCGAGGGUCAUAGGUUCGAAUCCCACCUGGGACG
Molecule: non-coding RNA, 73 nt
Organism: Trichonephila clavipes
Lineage: Eukaryota; Metazoa; Arthropoda; Arachnida; Araneae; Nephilidae
Source: the annotation of a GenBank genome assembly